GCUGUGACUCCUGCAGCCGAGGACAUUGUGACUCCUUCCCUGGCUGCGAGACCUGUCCGUCCUGCUUCUUCACCCUGGACGCCCAGAGACAGAACCUCAGUGCAGCUCUGGAGAGACUCUCCCCCAGAUUCCCUUCCCGUCCUGGAGGGGCUGGUGAUCCUGGAAACUUUGGACCUCGCAUCCUCAUCCUGGAGAACAGCCUGAACCUGAUCCGGGACUCCAUCUCCCUCCCCCCCAGUAUUACCACACAGGUCGAUAAUGCUCUGCUCCAACUGGACAAGCUCAGGAACCGGGUGGACAGGGUUAACAGUGACCUUUCACCCCUGACAACAACUACUGGUCUGGACUCGGAGCUGGACAGACUGCAGGCUCUGCUGGACAACCUCACUCUGGUGUACAAAGCCAAGAAAGAUGCAAAGGACAACUCCGGCAAUCAGAACAAUGCAGGAGCAUUUUCUGCCAUCAAGACCGCCUACGAUGAGUCUACAGAUGCAGCUAAGAAAGUAAUUGCCAGCGGAGACGUGGUGAAGGAGUCAGCUGAUGCCAGAGGAAAGACUAUGGACCUUCAAAACCAAGUCCAGCCAGCCAACACCAGAGACCUGGACAAACUGAACCAGAGCAUGGCCUCCCGACCCGAC
RNAcentral lists this long non-coding RNA (638 nucleotides) under Sander lucioperca (pikeperch). RNAcentral describes it as "lncRNA (ENSSLUG00000013796.1)". The record is from RNAcentral. Lineage: Eukaryota; Metazoa; Chordata; Actinopteri; Perciformes; Percidae.